Molecule: ribosomal RNA, 425 nt
Filed under: uncultured bacterium
Lineage: Bacteria
Description: partial 16S ribosomal RNA
Rfam family: Bacterial small subunit ribosomal RNA
Source: RNAcentral
GUGGGGAAUCUUAGACAAUGGGGGAAACCCUGAUCUAGCCAUGCCGCGUGAGCGAUGAAGGCCUUAGGGUUGUAAAGCUCUUUCAGCUGGGAAGAUAAUGACGGUACCAGCAGAAGAAGCCCCGGCUAACUUCGAGCCAGCAGCCGCGGUAAUACGGAGGGGGCUAGCGUUGUUCGGAAUUAUUGGGCGUAAAGCGCGCGUCGGCGGACCAGAAGGUUGGAGGUGAAAUCCCAGGGCUAAACCUUGGAACGGACUUCAAAACGCCUGGUGUGGAGUUCGAGGGAGGUGGGUGGAAUUCCGAGUGUAGAGGUGAAAGUCGUAGAUAUUCGGAGGAACACCAGUGGCGAAGGCGGCUCACUGGCUCGAUACUGACGCUGAGGUGCGAAGGCGUGGGGAGCAAACAGGAUUAGAAACCCUUGUAGUCC